CCUACGGGAGGCAGCAGUAGGGAAUAUUGGACAAUGGACGCAAGUCUGAUCCAGCCAUCCCGCGUGAAGGAUUAAGGCCCUCUGGGUUGUAAACUUCUUUUCUUUGGGAAUAAAAAGCGGUAUUCAUAUCGCCUUGAAGGUACCAGAGGAAUAAGCACCGGCUAACUCCGUGCCAGCAGCCGCGGUAAUACGGAGGGUGCAAGCGUUAUCCGGAUUCACUGGGUUUAAAGGGUGCGUAGGUGGUCUGUUAAGUCAGCGGUGAAAGCCUAGAGCUCAACUCCAGAAUUGCCAUUGAUACUGACGGACUUGAAUCAAGUUGAGGUGGAUGGAAUAUUACAUGUAGCGGUGAAAUGCUUAGAUAUGUAAUAGAACACCAAUUGCGAAGGCAGUUCACUAAGCUUGCAUUGACACUGAGGCACGAAAGCGUGGGGAUCAAACAGGAUUAGAUACCCUGGUAGUCCACGCCCUAAACGAUGCAAACUCGACAUUAGCGAUAUACAGUUAGUGUCCAAGCGAAAGCGUUAAAGUUUGCCACCUGGGAAGUACGACCGCAAGGUUGAAACUUCAAAGGAAUUGACGGCGNGAGAGNGCGAGGACGACGACGAGGGAGGAGG
Molecule: ribosomal RNA, 614 nt
Filed under: uncultured bacterium
Lineage: Bacteria
Description: bacterial SSU rRNA
Rfam family: Bacterial small subunit ribosomal RNA
Source: RNAcentral